Hippocampus comes (tiger tail seahorse) is the source of this 276-nucleotide long non-coding RNA. RefSeq lists it as uncharacterized. The transcript is spliced from 4 exons. NCBI's taxonomy places the organism in Eukaryota, Metazoa, Chordata, Actinopteri, Syngnathiformes, Syngnathidae. The record is from RefSeq and is a predicted model, not a curated record.
UUUCAGAAAAUCAAUGUCAUUAAAUACAGUUCAGCGCUACAUCUGUAAGUGCAACUCAAAACUCUACCAUGCAAAGCAAAUGCCAUUUAUCAACAACACCCAGAAAUGCCGCUGGCUUCUCUGGGCCUGAGCUCAUCGCAGAUGGACUGAUGCAAAGUGGAAAAGUGUUCUCUGGUCUGUUGAGUCCAUAUUUCAAAUUGCUUUUGGAAUUUGUCGACGUUGUGUCCUCCGGGCCAAAGAUGUUGAGAACCAUCCGGACUGUUAUGGACGCAAAAU